AGCAGCCGCGGUAAUUCCAGCUCCAAUAGCAUAUAUUAAAGUUGUUGCAGUUAAAAAGCUCGUAGUUGAAUUUCGGGAUUAGUAGUCUGGUCGUGCCACUGGUAUGUACUGGUCUUACUGAUUUCUCCUUCUUGAAGAACCGUAAUGUCAUUAAUUUGGUGUUGCGGGGAAUCUGGACUGUUACUUUGAAAAAUUAGAGUGUUUAAAGCAGGCUAACGCUUGAAUACAUUAGCAUGGAAUAAUGAAAUAGGACGUUCGAUCCUAUUUUGUUGGUUUCUAGGAUUGACGUAAUGAUUAAUAGGGAUAGUUGGGGGCAUUAGUAUUCAAUUGUCAGAGGUGAAAUUCUUGGAUUUAUUGAAGACUAACUACUGCGAAAGCAUUUGCCAAGGAUGUUUUCAUUAAUCAAGAACGAAAGUUAGGGGAUCGAAGACGAUCAGACACCGUCGUAGUCUUAACCAUAAACUAUGCCGACUAGGGAUCGGAUGGUGUUAAUUUUAUAAUGACUCAUUCGGCGUCCG
This 518-nucleotide ribosomal RNA is filed under the name uncultured Glomus. RNAcentral's name for it is "SSU rRNA". It matches the Rfam family "Eukaryotic small subunit ribosomal RNA", at positions 569 to 1089 of the family's 1831-position model. Lineage: Eukaryota; Fungi; Glomeromycota; Glomeromycetes; Glomerales; Glomeraceae. The record is from RNAcentral.